UACGUAGGGUGCGAGCGUUGUCCGGAAUUAUUGGGCGUAAAGAGCUUGUAGGCGGUUUGUCGCGUCUGCCGUGAAAAUCCGAGGCUCAACCUCGGACUUGCAGUGGGUACGGGCAGACUAGAGUGUGGUAGGGGAGACUGGAAUUCCUGGUGUAGCGGUGAAAUGCGCAGAUAUCAGGAGGAACACCGAUGGCGAAGGCAGGUCUCUGGGCCACUACUGACGCUGAGAAGCGAAAGCAUGGGGAGCGAACAGG
RNAcentral lists this ribosomal RNA (253 nucleotides) under uncultured bacterium. RNAcentral's name for it is "partial 16S ribosomal RNA". It matches the Rfam family "Bacterial small subunit ribosomal RNA", at positions 524 to 776 of the family's 1533-position model. The record is from RNAcentral.